RNAcentral lists this transfer RNA (72 nucleotides) under Caudoviricetes sp. RNAcentral describes it as "tRNA-Met". It matches the Rfam family "tRNA". Rfam says of the family: Transfer RNA (tRNA) molecules are approximately 80 nucleotides in length. Their secondary structure includes four short double-helical elements and three loops (D, anti-codon, and T loops). Lineage: Duplodnaviria; Heunggongvirae; Uroviricota; Caudoviricetes. The record is from RNAcentral.
AGCAGAAUGGCGCAGCGGUAGCGCAGUUGUUUCAUAAUCAACAGGUCGAAGGUUCGAUUCCUUCUUCUGCAA